GAUUGAACCCUUGUCUCUUAUGUCUCCUGCAUUGGCCGGUGGGUUCUUUACCACUAGUGCUACCUGGGAAGCCCAUAGAAUACUGGAGUAAGUUACCAUUCCCUUCUCCAGGGGAUCUUCCUGACCCAGGGAUUGAACCUGGGUCUCCUGCAUUGCAGGCAGAUUCUUUAUCAUCUGAGCCACCAGGGAAGCCACUUAGAAGUCCAGACCAGUGAUCAAAGAAGAUAGCUGCCUCACUCACCUUUGUCCUGUUCUGGCUGCCUCAGGCCCUGGGCCCGGUUCUGGGCACUCACUGGAAGAGGAACUGUGAGAAAUAAGCCCAUAGUCUUGAGGGGGAUGCUCCCCUGCCCUCCACCUGCCACCAGGCACAUACACUCUGGCAACAGCACAUGGACUCCAGCCAUGCCUGCACGCCCCUCCCCCACCCUCCCUUCUCUUCAGAGGGAAGGGCUCCUACAGAUGCUCUUCUGCAGCCUGGAGGUACUCCAGGGACUCCACAGCCAUGUCCUGGUUGCACUGAGCCUGCCUCCUGCCAGCAUUUUGGGGCUCUGUCCCUGCCCAGCUCCUGGACCCACUCCCCAGCCUAUUCCUCACCCCAGCCUGCACCGAAGUGACUCCUCAAGCUUCAGGACUCAGUGGGGCACAGUGGCAGUCACGUGCAUGCUGGGACCGAGACGGACGGGCCGCAGCUCCCCCUGCCACGCCCCCGGCCCCCAGAGGCCCGGCUGUUUGCCUCCCGGAGCCGUCUGACCCAGGUAGGGGGAGAUGGAGGUAGGCUCUCCCUCGUUGUGUCUCUGCAGUGGGUGGGAGGACUCUAAGA
Molecule: transfer RNA, 820 nt
Filed under: Bos indicus x Bos taurus (hybrid cattle)
Lineage: Eukaryota; Metazoa; Chordata; Mammalia; Artiodactyla; Bovidae
Description: lncRNA (ENSBIXG00000012978.1)
Source: RNAcentral